Long non-coding RNA from Drosophila mojavensis, 104 nucleotides. RefSeq lists it as uncharacterized. The transcript has 2 exons. The record is from RefSeq and is a predicted model, not a curated record. NCBI's taxonomy places the organism in Eukaryota, Metazoa, Arthropoda, Insecta, Diptera, Drosophilidae.
AUUUAAUCUGAGUGGAGCAUUAAUACGUGCACGAACAGAAUCAAUCUAUUUCCUCUAUACUGGCAGUUCCUCAUUUAAUAUGGACAAAUUUGUCGCUACGUCGA